Molecule: transfer RNA, 84 nt
Filed under: Pontibacillus sp. ALD_SL1
Lineage: Bacteria; Bacillati; Bacillota; Bacilli; Caryophanales; Bacillaceae
Description: tRNA-Leu
Rfam family: tRNA
About the family: Transfer RNA (tRNA) molecules are approximately 80 nucleotides in length.
Source: RNAcentral
GCCGAUGUGGCGGAAUGGCAGACGCGCUCGACUCAAAAUCGAGUGUCUUCGGACGUGUGGGUUCGAAUCCCACCAUCGGUACCA